GGUCACGUGGCUUAGCUGGUAGAGCUUGGGUUGUACAACCGCGUAAGCCACUUCUAUGCGUGGGUUCGAAUCCUACCGAGACUA
This 84-nucleotide transfer RNA is filed under the name Echinostoma caproni. It matches the Rfam family "tRNA". Rfam says of the family: Transfer RNA (tRNA) molecules are approximately 80 nucleotides in length. Their secondary structure includes four short double-helical elements and three loops (D, anti-codon, and T loops). Further hydrogen bonds mediate the characteristic L-shaped molecular structure. tRNAs have two regions of fundamental functional importance: the anti-codon, which is responsible for specific mRNA codon recognition, and the 3' end, to which the tRNAs corresponding amino acid is attached (by aminoacyl-tRNA synthetases). tRNAs cope with the degeneracy of the genetic code in two manners: having more than one tRNA (with a specific anti-codon) for a particular amino acid; and 'wobble' base-pairing, i.e. permitting non-standard base-pairing at the 3rd anti-codon position. The record is from Rfam by way of RNAcentral. Lineage: Eukaryota; Metazoa; Platyhelminthes; Trematoda; Plagiorchiida; Echinostomatidae.